This 294-nucleotide ribosomal RNA is filed under the name uncultured bacterium. Its description in RNAcentral is "partial 16S ribosomal RNA". It matches the Rfam family "Bacterial small subunit ribosomal RNA", at positions 334 to 642 of the family's 1533-position model. The record is from RNAcentral.
GGUACCUACGGGGGGCAGCAGUGGGGAAUAUUGGGCAAUGGGCGCAAGCCUGACCCAGCAACGCCGCGUGAAGGAAGAAGGCUUUCGGGUUGUAAACUUCUUUUAUCAGGGACGAAGCAAGUGACGGUACCUGAUGAAUAAGCCACGGCUAACUACGUGCCAGCAGCCGCGGUAAUACGUAGGUGGCAAGCGUUAUCCGGAUUUACUGGGUGUAAAGGGCGUGUAGGCGGGAGUGCAAGUCAGAUGUGAAAACUAUGGGCUCAACCCAUAGCCUGCAUUUGAAACUGUACUUCU